RNAcentral lists this ribosomal RNA (217 nucleotides) under uncultured Actinomycetes bacterium. RNAcentral describes it as "uncultured actinobacterium partial 16S ribosomal RNA". It matches the Rfam family "Bacterial small subunit ribosomal RNA", at positions 61 to 277 of the family's 1533-position model. Lineage: Bacteria; Bacillati; Actinomycetota; Actinomycetes. The record is from RNAcentral.
GUCGAACGAUGAAGCUGGAGCUUGCUCCGGUGGAUUAGUGGCGAACGGGUGAGUAACACGUGAGCAAUCUGCCCUUGACUCUGGGAUAACUGCGGGAAACUGUAGCUAAUACCGGAUACGACACCUUGGGGCAUCCCAGGGUGUGGAAAGAAUUUCGGUCAAGGAUGAGCUCGCGGCCUAUCAGCUAGUUGGUGAGGUAAUGGCUCACCAAGGCGAC